GGCAAAGACCGAGGACGAGGAGCACACUACACUACUACACAACAUAGAGAUAGAGUUCCCAGAAGAGAGAACAGAGAACCCGAGAGCCAAGAAACGCGCAGAGCAGAGCAGACCAGCGCAAAGAAGGGCGCAGCAGGGCGAGAAACCUCAGAACUGGGCUAGAAAAGGAGAAGGAGUCCAAGAAGAAGCGACAUGGAAGAGGAGACAAGAGGAGUACGUACCACCCAUUAAGAGCAGGUGCAUGAAGGCGCCUGCCUGCCUGAGCCCGAUCAGCUGGCUGCACACGCCGUGAUGAUGAUGAGCAGCAGCGGCAGCAGGCUUUGGUUGUGAGGUGCUGGAGCUGAUGCAGAGUGGCACAAGCACAGCGCACGAGUGGGGGAAGGGGAGGGGACAAGGAUGAUGAUGGGGCGUGUCAGUG
Molecule: long non-coding RNA, 418 nt
Filed under: Hordeum vulgare
Lineage: Eukaryota; Viridiplantae; Streptophyta; Magnoliopsida; Poales; Poaceae
Description: long non-coding RNA (HVUL_LNC004666)
Source: RNAcentral